GAGAAAAAUCCCCCUUUUGACAGUGGGGUGUGUGUAUGUGUGCGAGAGAGAUUCAUUUUCCAAGUGAUAAUAUCUUUUGUAUAUUUUAAUGUCCCCAUGUUGUAGCUUACAAAAUUACUUUCCUACAGGCUUAUUGGAAUGGAAUGCUGAAUGUGAUUGUGGUUGUAUAUGUCACAAUUGGCAGCUAUUAACCUGGAACAGUUUGAAAGGUUCACACUCUGAAGUAAGAGCAAGGUUUUUUAAAAGGUUCAGUUGAAUCCCUCUGGGCAAAUAUGAUCAAAAGAGCGAGGGGAAGAAAUAAAAACUUUUUAAAUUUCCAAAAACUUAGUGGAUUGCAGUAGAAGAUGUGGCCUAUAAAUGAGUAUCUACUUGGUUCAAGGUCUUCCCAUGCGAUUCUGUGGUCAACUUCCAGCAAACUGACCAGAGAACUGUGUUGCUGGACCGAGAGAUUCCCAAUUAAGUGUUUUCACAGGUACUAAUGUUGGAGAGCAGUCCCUGGUCAAGAUGGUCCCUGGUCAAGUGAUCCCUGGUUGGGAACCAGUGCCCUAACCCAAGCAAAUGUGGAAAACUGACGCAAGCAUAAGGGCUGUGCCUCUUAGCAGCCUGAGGUCUGCCAGGAAGGUACCAUGGGAAUCAUUUGGGAGAAGAUUCUGAAAUAUUUCAAAGCAAGUGGUUUAAUAUAUGUGCAGGCCACUAGAUGUCAUCUUGAUAUCAAUUCCUGAUUUCAUCAAUUUUUUGAGCAGCAAACAGAGCAGAAUUGAUCAGCAACUGAACAUACUGGAAAGGUUUGCGGGACUGACUCAGCAUGAUGGAAGAUGUAGUUAACCCUGUAUCAAGAUAGAGCACUGUGACCUGGACCACAUUUGCACACAGAACCUCCGUGACCAACGAAAAAUAUCUGAAAGAUUUGGGGGGAACCUCCUCAACCCAUACGACAAUGGAUCUAGAAUAAACUUGGCACACAUUCUCAA
This is a long non-coding RNA of Anolis carolinensis (green anole), 971 nucleotides long. RefSeq lists it as uncharacterized. Lineage: Eukaryota; Metazoa; Chordata; Lepidosauria; Squamata; Anolidae. The record is from RefSeq and is a predicted model, not a curated record. The transcript is spliced from 6 exons.